Molecule: long non-coding RNA, 593 nt
Organism: Alosa alosa (allis shad)
Lineage: Eukaryota; Metazoa; Chordata; Actinopteri; Clupeiformes; Clupeidae
Exons: 3
Source: RefSeq, a predicted model, not a curated record
UCCUGCCUGACCGAGAGGGGUAUAAAAAGAGAACGACCCCUUCAUCAGGGUUCUUCUUUUUCCUUUUCAUUUUUCUUUGGACCGAGCGUUUAGCCUUUAGACUUAGACAGUUUUCAUUUCUUAUAUUUUUUGUUUGUAUUUAAUAAAAGUCAAAAUCCUAACCUUUGAUUAGGAGUUUGUAAAAAGACCGUCUAGCGUUUUGUUCGAAUUUGUCUGCCUCUCCUGUGUUGCUGAGAACCCUGGAUGCCUUGCAAUAGGGCCUCUGCUCCAAAGAUUUGACUUCGCUCCGGGCUCCAGAGAUGCUGCAGGGACAGGCACCCAUUUUCUGAUUUAAUGAGAAUAUUUCAGCAUCUCGACCCAGCUGAGGGAAUUCAGGCUGACAUCCAUAGAUAAUGAGUGUGACCUGUCCAUGUGGCUGCUUAAUGACGGUGUCUGUUCGCUGGAGGAAGUUUGAUGCCCACGUUGUGGGGCACGAGCACACUGCGACUAUGUUACCAGGGGUUCUAUUAUUUACCGUAUAUAUCUGCAUUUGAAUUAUCGCUGUUAAUUCUUGAAUUUCCCCUGGGGAUCAAUAAAGUAUCUAUCUAUCUAUC